RNAcentral lists this small RNA (3695 nucleotides) under Mytilus galloprovincialis (Mediterranean mussel). Lineage: Eukaryota; Metazoa; Mollusca; Bivalvia; Mytilida; Mytilidae. The record is from RNAcentral.
GUUGUUUAUAUUCCAAUAACAAUUGGAAAUGAUAUAUUUAGUAUAAAAUUUUAUGUUGUUCAGAGUAUAAAGCCAGAUAUUAUUUUAGGCUUAGAAUUUUUACAAGCAAAUAAUAUUAUUAUAGAUUUUAAUAAUAAUAAGAUACGUGUAGACCACUCGACGUCAACUUAUUUUAAGCAAAGACACUGUCAUACCGCCGAUGAGCGAGAAAGUUGUUGUAGCUAGAAUAAGAGGUAGUUAUCUGCCUGAUGAAAUAAUUGGUUUAACAUCAGCAUCGCCAAAAUUAUUGUCUUCUGGGUUAAUGACUGCUAAGUCAAUUAGUAAAGUAGAUAAAAAUCAGAUUUUGUUUGGUGUGGGUAAUUUUACGGAUAAACCAAUUACUUUAUCAAAACAUGAUAAACUGUAUGAUUUUGAAUCUCUUGAUACCGGAAGUAGAGUAUGUAAUGUAUCAAAAUCAAGUGUUGAUGUUAAAAAUCAAGCUGAUAAAUCUUUAUCAGUAGAUCAAAUAUCUCAGUUACAAGAUUUAGUUGACAAAUAUAAUGAUGUUUUUGUUGGUAAAGACAGUAAACUAGGUAAAUGUUCACUUUUGAAACACAAAAUUGAGGUUCCAGAGGGAACCGCGCCUGUUCGUCAACGAGCAUACAAGGUAGGCCCACGUCAAAAAGAUGUUUUGGAAAACAUGAUUAAAGACAUGCUUGAGAAAGAUAUUAUUGAAGAGUCUAUUAGUCCUUGGGGUGCUCCUUGUCUGCUCGUUGCGAAGAAAAAUAACAAUGGGUAUCGUUUUGUUGUUGAUUUUCGUUCUCUGAACAAACAUAUUGUAAAUCUAGACGCUUAUCCACUCCCUACAACAGAUGAAGCGCUAGAAAGCUUAGGGUCGGCUUCACCGACGUACUUUUCAUGUUUAGACCUUCAGUCAGGUUUUUAUCAGUUAGAAAUUGACCCUUCUUCCCGUCCCCUUACAGCGUGGCGUUGUCAUUUUCAAUAGCCCUCUGACUUUUCAAAGAGUCAUGGAAGCAGUGUUGAGAGGACUCAAUUGGAAAUCAUCGCUUGUGUACCUUGAUGACGUUAUAGUGUUUAGUCGAACUUUUCAAGACCAUUUAUUACAUUUGCAACAAGUUUUCGAAAGACUUCGUAAUGCCGGACUUAAACUGCAUCCGUCAAAGUGUAACUUUGCAAAACGGGAGAUACGCUAUCUUGGACACAUUGUCAAUAGCGAAGGAAUAUCCCCCGAUCCCGAAAAAGUGACCGCCAUAAGAACAUAUCCAAUACCAACCAAUUUAAAACAGUUAAGAACAUUUUUAGGACUUUCAGGAUAUUACCGCCGUUUUAUGAAGAACUAUUCAAAACUUGCGUCACCUCUCUAUCAAUUAACGAGAAAAGAUACAAACUUUGUGUGGACUGAACAGUGCCAAACGGCUUUUGACGAAUUAAAAGAAUCAUUAAGUCAACCACCAAUUCUAGGAUACCCGCGAUACGACCAACCCUUCCGUCUCUACACUGAUGCUAGUUCGUUUUCUCUUGGAGCUGUGCUAUGCCAAGUUCAAAAUGGAAUUGAACGUGUAAUAUGUUACGCUGGAAAGUCUUUAUCUGCGUCCGAGAAAAAUUACGGAAUAAGCGAAAAAGAGUGUUUAGCUUUAGUAUAUGGUAUAAAACAUUUCGAUUGUUAUUUAAGACACAAUAAAUUUGAAGCUUUUGUGGAUCAUUCUUCUCUAAAAUGGCUAUUGACGAUGAAUGAGCCUGUAGGAAAAUUCGCACGCUGGAAUGCGUUAGUGCAAUCAUACGAUUUUGACAUUAAGUACCGCCCAGGCAAAAUUCAUACUAAUGCAGAUGGCAUAUCAAGGCGGACUUAUGAUGACGAGGUAGAUCAUUCAGAUAAUUGGGAUGAACUGCCAACUUUUGACUGUAUUUCUCAACCAAUCAAAGAUACACAGAGGCGUGCCGAAUUGCCAAAUGAUGCAGCGAAACUCAAAGGACUGACAAUAGUCACGUGUGCUGCUGCCGUAACGGAGAACGACGAAAAUGUAGUACUAUCUAAUGACAGUAUCCGUGAUUAUCAAAGAAUUGAUGCGUGGUACAAAGAUUUAAUUAUUUAUCUUGAAACAGAAACACUUCCAGACGAUCCCAAGAGACGUAGAGAUAUUCUUACCAUACACAACUCUUAUGUCAUAGACAAUGGAACUUUAUUUCACAUUUAUACUCAAGAUAAACGCAAAGUUAAGAACAUUGACAUAAACCUACAAAUUUGUAUACCAAAACGAUUAGUGAAACUUGUACUAGAAGAAACACACGACUCUUUAUUGAAUGGUAAUCACUGCGGCAUAAAUCGUACUUUAUUCAAAACGCGCUUACGAUAUUACUGGCCAUCGUUAAACUCCGACGUUAUAGAAUGGGUAAAGUCUUGCGUAAUGUGCAGCCAACGUAAGCGACCACAAACAUUAACAAAAGCUAGAUUAAUGUCCAUGCCUGUCCCCAGUCAACCAUUUGAAGCCGUUAGUACUGAUAUUUUAGGACCAAUGCGUAAGACUGUAACCAAUGGAAAUAAAUAUGUACUUGUAUUUAUUUGUUACUUGACCAAAUAUGUGGAACUUAUACCUGUGAAAGACAUUACCGCUGUUACUGUAGCAGACGCCUUUUUAAAGAAUGUCAUAUGCCGCCAUGGUAUUUGUAAAACUUUGCACUCUGAUCGUGGAACGAACUAUUUAUCGAACAUUGUUCGCGAAACUUGUCGUCUUUUAGAUGUAAAGAAAACACAGACAACUAGUUUUCAUCCACAGUGUAACGGUCAGAGCGAGAGAAUGAUGUCAACUAUAGUGAAUUCUAUUUCCAAGCGUAUUGAUGAUGACGAAGAUAAUUGGGAUCGAUUUAUUCCGUUCAUUCAAUAUUCGUACAACAAUACCCCUUGUCUUGACAGUACUGAAUAUACACCAUUUUUUCUCACACAUGGACGAUAUCCUAGAUCCUUGCUAGACAUAAGUUUUGACAAUUUUGAUUUGCCAGUGACUUGCCGUGAUUAUAUAAUUCGUUUAUUGGAAAAUCUGGACAAAUCACGAGAAGUAGCCGUAGAAAUUCUCAAGGAACGAAAACAACAAAUGGUAACAACAGCAAACAGAAAGACACAUGAACUACAGUUCGCUGUCGGCGAUAUUGUGUACAUAUAUCGGCCAGUUGUAACUCCAGGAAAGCAUCGAAAAUUCAUGCGACCGUGGAUUGGACCGUACUAUAUUACACAAAAACUUUCAGACAUUCAUGUUAAAAUCCGCCGUAAAUCAGAUGGAAAACUGGUCAAGAACCGUGUUCAUGUCAAUCGUUUGAAACAUGGGUUUUUGUGGCAUGAUAGGCCACAGGACCCUGAACCUCCCCCAAAUGUAGAUGCCACUGAGCCCGCUAUUUUAGCAGAUGAAGAAAUUCCCCCUAAUUUUGUAGAUAAUACUGAAAUACCCCAGGGUGUGGAUAAUGUGUCUCAAAAUGGUGACCCUCAGAAUGAUAGUAUUUCUGAAAAAUUGUAUGAGGUAGAAAAAAUUUUAAGAAAGAAAUUUUUUGAUGGUAAAUGGUAUUACCGAGUGAAAUGGUUAGAUUUUGACUCCACGAAUAAUUCUUGGGUAGAGUACCAAGAUUUAAAUGAGAAAUGUAAAAAAUAUGUUAAUGACAUGCAUAAGAAAAUAUUAACUGAUCGUAGAAGUAAAAAGAAGAAUUAA